UAUGUAAUUAUUUAACGUUAGUAUAUAUUACGUUUACACUCAUUUAAUAUACAGUCGUAUAAACAUAAUUUAUUAUUAAAACAAUUCCAUGGUUUGAUCGAUUUUUUACUAUGGUAAUAUUUGACAAAUUGAUUUUGCAUCGUUUUGCUCUAUACUUCAUGGUUUUGCUGUUUUGCUCCGAUUUAAAACAGCUGAUCGUCAAAGUUACGUCUUAUCAUGUCUUAUAAUAAAUGACACUUGUAGAUCAUAUAAAAACAAACAAAAUAUUUAAUAACAUCAUUGUUAAUGGUAAACCACAAUAUAUAUCACAAUGGCGACUAUGGUUAAAGAAAAAUCGAAAGACAAAAAAAAGAAUAAAAAUAAACUCAAAUUA
Molecule: long non-coding RNA, 373 nt
Organism: Melitaea cinxia (Glanville fritillary)
Lineage: Eukaryota; Metazoa; Arthropoda; Insecta; Lepidoptera; Nymphalidae
Exons: 2
Source: RefSeq, a predicted model, not a curated record